CUUAAUCCAUAGGUUUCUUCAUCUGCCUUUUAUUCUUUGCAAAUUUUUCAUGAAGAAACUGAAUUGUUUUGUCCUUGGAUUCUUAAGAAAAUGGUUGACUUUAAAUAGAGGAACAACAAUUAUUUUCUGAUUUUGAGAUGCCUACUAUCCUGUUUGAUAAAUGGAGAGGGCUCAGCUGCACAACCAAAACAGUAAUUUGUCAUUGAUCCGGCAUUGGGUGUUUAUUGAAGAGUUAGAUUAAGAAAGAAAUGGAAGAAUCAAAGUUCAGAGUCUCCAUUAAAUAGAAGACGAGUACAAUGCGAGUAGCAGAAGAGGAGUAAUGGGAAACUGUGGAGUUGACCACAGGAGUGGUCAGUCGCGAAGAGGCUGAGUUUGUUGUAUGGAUGUAAAAUUCACUGAGACUACGAGAAGACUUCUGCUUCAAGCCAUGACAGUAACUGAUACUGACUUUCCUGCCUGCCUUAACCAUGAAAGUGCACAAAAUAUAUGUGAGGCAACCGCUUUUAGACACUGGACAACAUGCAACAAGAUGGUGGUCCCCAAGAGAAGGAAAACUCAUGAGAUCCAAACCUACUGCAGGUCAUUAAUUUAAGAAGAAACAUGUAACAGUAUCUACAACUGAAUCAGCAACAACUGGGCGGUAGGAAGAGACAGCAGAGGAGGAAGGCGAGCUGGUGGGGACUGUUUCUGCAAAUUACAGGAGGAAAUACUAACAAAAACUACAGAAAAGAAAAAGGACUGAAUGGACAUCAAACUUGCA
This is a long non-coding RNA of Molossus molossus (Pallas's mastiff bat), 760 nucleotides long. RefSeq lists it as uncharacterized. NCBI's taxonomy places the organism in Eukaryota, Metazoa, Chordata, Mammalia, Chiroptera, Molossidae. The record is from RefSeq and is a predicted model, not a curated record. The transcript has 5 exons.